This 62-nucleotide transfer RNA is filed under the name Sphaerodactylus townsendi. Its description in RNAcentral is "tRNA-Ala". It matches the Rfam family "tRNA", at positions 8 to 63 of the family's 71-position model. Rfam says of the family: Transfer RNA (tRNA) molecules are approximately 80 nucleotides in length. Their secondary structure includes four short double-helical elements and three loops (D, anti-codon, and T loops). Further hydrogen bonds mediate the characteristic L-shaped molecular structure. tRNAs have two regions of fundamental functional importance: the anti-codon, which is responsible for specific mRNA codon recognition, and the 3' end, to which the tRNAs corresponding amino acid is attached (by aminoacyl-tRNA synthetases). tRNAs cope with the degeneracy of the genetic code in two manners: having more than one tRNA (with a specific anti-codon) for a particular amino acid; and 'wobble' base-pairing, i.e. permitting non-standard base-pairing at the 3rd anti-codon position. Lineage: Eukaryota; Metazoa; Chordata; Lepidosauria; Squamata; Sphaerodactylidae. The record is from RNAcentral.
GUGGCUCAGUGGUAGAGAACAUGCCUUGCAUGCAGGCGGUCCCAGGUUCAAUCCCUGGAACU